RNAcentral lists this ribosomal RNA (459 nucleotides) under uncultured bacterium. RNAcentral describes it as "partial 16S ribosomal RNA". It matches the Rfam family "Bacterial small subunit ribosomal RNA", at positions 338 to 795 of the family's 1533-position model. The record is from RNAcentral.
CCUACGGGAGGCAGCAGUGAGGAAUAUUGGUCAAUGGGCGGAAGCCUGAACCAGCCAAGUAGCGUGCAGGAUGACGGCCCUACGGGUUGUAAACUGCUUUUAUACGGGAAUAACGCGCCUUACGUGUAGGGCUUUGCAUGUACCGUAUGAAUAAGGACCGGCUAAUUCCGUGCCAGCAGCCGCGGUAAUACGGAAGGUUCGGUCGUUAUCCGGAUUUAUUGGGUGUAAAGGGUGCGCAGGCGGAUUUUUAAGUCAGCGGUCAAAUCGUGGGGCUCAACCCCAUCCAGCCGUUGAAACUGGGGAUCUAGAGUGUGCGAGAGGUAUGCGGAAUGCGUGGUGUAGCGGUGAAAUGCAUAGAUAUCACGCAGAACCCCGAUUGUGAAGGCAGCUUACCAAGCUACUUCUGACGUUGAGGCACGAAAGCGUGGGGAGCAAACAGGAUUAGAUACCCGGGUAGUC